This 387-nucleotide ribosomal RNA is filed under the name uncultured bacterium. RNAcentral's name for it is "bacterial SSU rRNA". It matches the Rfam family "Bacterial small subunit ribosomal RNA", at positions 30 to 419 of the family's 1533-position model. The record is from RNAcentral.
AUUGAACGCUGGCGGCAUGCCUUACACAUGCAAGUCGAACGGCAGCACGGGGGCAACCCUGGUGGCGAGUGGCGAACGGGUGAGUAACAUAUCGGAACAUACCCUAGAGUGGGGGAUAACGUAGCGAAAGUUACGCUAAUACCGCAUACGAUCUAAGGAUGAAAAGUGGGGGAUCUUCGGACCUCAUGCUCAUGGAGUGGCCGAUAUCUGAUUAGCUAGUUGGUGAGGUAAAGGCUCACCAAGGCGACGAUCAGUAGCUGGUUUGAGAGAACGACCAGCCACACUGGAACUGAGACACGGUCCAGACUCCUACGGAGGCAGCAGUGGGAAUUUUGGUACAAUGGGGGCAACCCUGAUCAGCAAUGCGCGUGAGCGAAGAAGCCCUUU